This 119-nucleotide small nucleolar RNA is filed under the name Nannospalax galili (Upper Galilee mountains blind mole rat). Lineage: Eukaryota; Metazoa; Chordata; Mammalia; Rodentia; Spalacidae. The record is from RNAcentral.
AAGCACUUUCAUAGGAUACUAAGAUGUUGAUACUGUUGAUGGUGCUAAUAAUAAACCUUUGGAGAUAAAUCAGUAGCAUGACUAAUUUAGCAAUUGCUGUGAGUCACCUUUAGGCAAGU